GAGAAUACAGUGAAGAGAAAAGUACAGUAAUAAAAAGCUUUUAGAGAGUCUCGGUUGGUGAAAAGAGACAGUGGCUUAUUAGUGGAAAAUGGUCUUGGAGUAUUAAUGAUUGAACUAGAAAAUUUCUUUUAAAUCAUUACGGGAGCACCUGUUAUAGUGCUAAGAUAUGCGAAUCAAUAAAGAUUCAAGUAUUGGAGAGAUAGCGUUUAUUUAGCGCUAUAAAAAAGGUGGUACCGCGGAAACUUCCGUCCUUUGU
Molecule: regulatory RNA element, 256 nt
Organism: Carnobacterium maltaromaticum LMA28
Lineage: Bacteria; Bacillati; Bacillota; Bacilli; Lactobacillales; Carnobacteriaceae
Rfam family: T-box leader
About the family: Uncharged tRNA acts as the effector for transcription antitermination of genes in the T-box leader family. T-boxes are found upstream of many aminoacyl-tRNA synthetase genes and some amino acid biosynthetic genes usually in Gram-positive bacteria. The anticodon of a specific tRNA base pairs to a specifier sequence within the T-box motif, and the NCCA acceptor tail of the tRNA base pairs to a conserved bulge in the T-box antiterminator hairpin.
Source: Rfam